Molecule: transfer-messenger RNA, 348 nt
Filed under: Paracoccaceae bacterium
Lineage: Bacteria; Pseudomonadati; Pseudomonadota; Alphaproteobacteria; Rhodobacterales; Paracoccaceae
Description: Rhodobacteraceae bacterium (marine metagenome) transfer-messenger RNA
Rfam family: Alphaproteobacteria transfer-messenger RNA
About the family: Bacterial tmRNA, also known as 10Sa RNA or SsrA, is named for its dual tRNA and mRNA-like properties. Its role is to liberate the mRNA from a stalled ribosome.
Source: RNAcentral
CUGAUUGCACAGACACCUACGCACGCUUAUAUGUCUGUCGUCCUUCGGGACUAUAGGCAUAAACGCGCUCGUAAUAAGCGGAUCGGACCCGGGGGCGGUACCCGGCGGCUCCACCAAACAUCCUUAUUGGGGGACUUUGGGGCCGAAAUAGGAUCGACGGACGUCUAAAGGGGUUAGCUUUGUCUCGGCGGGGUACCACCGUUAUCGGUCCGUUAAGCAUAAUUGCCAAUAACAAUUACGCUCCGAUGAAAGCUGUCGCGUAAGCGAUAUCAGACAUCGAUCUUUAAGCCCUUGUGCCUAGCCGCAUAAGGCGGGGUUCGCAGGCACCUGGCAACAGAAGCCUGCACU